Molecule: ribosomal RNA, 495 nt
Filed under: uncultured bacterium
Lineage: Bacteria
Description: partial 16S ribosomal RNA
Rfam family: Bacterial small subunit ribosomal RNA
Source: RNAcentral
GACGAACGCUGGCGGCGUGCCUAAUACAUGCAAGUAGAACGCUGAAGGAGGAGAUUGCUUCUCUGGAUGAGUUGCGAACGGGUGAGUAACGCGUAGGUAACCUGCCUGGUAGCGGGGGAUAACUAUUGGAAACGAUAGCUAAUACCGCAUAAUAGUAGAUGUUGCAUGACAUUUGCUUAAAAGGUGCAAUUGCAUCACUACCAGAUGGACCUGCGUUGUAUUAGCUAGUUGGUGGGGUAACGGCUCACCAAGGCGACGAUACAUAGCCGACCUGAGAGGGUGAUCGGCCACACUGGGACUGAGACAAGGCCCAGACUCCUACGGGAGGCAGCAGUAGGGAAUCUUCGGCAAUGGACGGAAGUCUGACCGAACAACGCCGCGUGAGUGAAGAAGGUUUUCGGAUCGUAAAGCUCUGUUGUAAGGGAAGAACGAGUGUGAGAGUAGAAAGUUCACCCUGUGACGGUAUCUUACCAGAAAGGGACGGCUAACUACGUG